This 68-nucleotide transfer RNA is filed under the name Enoplops potanini. Its description in RNAcentral is "tRNA-Val". The record is from RNAcentral. Lineage: Eukaryota; Metazoa; Arthropoda; Insecta; Hemiptera; Coreidae.
CAAGCCAAAUUUUAGAAAUAUUGUUAUUUACAGUAAUAAUUAUGAGUGUGCAAUUCAUUCUGGUUUGA